GAUGAACGCUGGCGAGAUGCCUUACACAUGCAAGUCGUACGGGGAUUUUUAAUUCAAGUGGCGGACGGGUGAGUAACACGUAAGAAUUUGCCUUUAGGAGGGGGACAACAACUGGAAACGGUUGCUAAUACCCCAUAUGCUUUCGAGUGAAAUGGAUUUUUCCGCCUAAAGAGAAGCUUGCGGCUGAUUAGCUUGUUGGUGAGGUAAUGGCUCACCAAGGCGACGAUCAGUAUCUGGUUUGAGAGGAUGAUCAGACACACUGGAACUGAGACACGGUCCAGACUCCUACGGGAGGCAGCAGUGGGGAAUUUUGGACAAUGGGCGCAAGCCUGAUCCAGCCAUUCCGCCGUGC
Molecule: ribosomal RNA, 352 nt
Filed under: uncultured bacterium
Lineage: Bacteria
Description: bacterial SSU rRNA
Rfam family: Bacterial small subunit ribosomal RNA
Source: RNAcentral